RNAcentral lists this ribosomal RNA (1575 nucleotides) under Triticum aestivum (bread wheat). RNAcentral describes it as "partial small subunit ribosomal RNA". Lineage: Eukaryota; Viridiplantae; Streptophyta; Magnoliopsida; Poales; Poaceae. The record is from RNAcentral.
AUGAAGGAAUAUAGACACUUACAUCAGUACGUGCAUGCAUGCAACGGUACAAGUACGCAUAGGUUACUGCUGCUUGCCGAUCAUGGCUGGAUUACCCGAUCUUCUCUUGACCCUGACGAGGAGGCCGUUCUUCAUGUGGAGUAUGAUGGAGAGCUUGGGCUCCACGACGUGCCCGGGCACCACCUCCACGGCGAAGUUCCACGCCACGGCCGCCACCGUCACCUUCAUCUGCACCAGCACCAUCUCCUUCCCGAGGCACGUCCUGGGGCCCGAGUUGAAGGCCACGAACUUGUUGGACGGCACGUACCGCAGCUUGCCGUCCUCGGAGAUCCACCGCUCCGGCCGGAACUCCCGGCAGUCGGCGCCCCACACCCGCUUCAUCCUCCCCAUGGAGUAGUUGAACACCAGGAUCUUGUCCCCGGGCCUCACCUCGUGCCCGCUCGGCAGCACGUCGUGGGCGGCGACCGCCUUUGUCUCCACCGGCAGCGACGGGUAGAGGCGGAGGCACUCGCACACCGCCGCGUGCAAGUAGAGCAGGUUCUUCAGCUCCCCCGCCUCGAAGGCCACCAUGCCGUUGGGUCCGACGGGUUUUCGGGCAGCUAUGGGGGCCAGCUCCUCCAGGAGCUUUUUCUCUACCCGCGGGUUCGUGGCGAUGAGGUAGGAGAACCACGAGAGGGCGGAGCUGGUGGCGUCGCGGCCGGCGACCAGGAGGUUCAUCGUCAUGUCCCGGAUGUACACGUCCGCAUCCGGGUCGCCGGCAAUCUCCUCGUCGCAGAUGAAGGAGGACAGCAGGUCGGCCGCCGACUUGUCCGCGCGAUGCUUGUUGUAGGCGGCUCUGCGGCUAGCAAUGGUGGCCGCCACGAAUUCGUCGGCCGUGCGGCGCGCGGCGGCGUUCUUCCUCUCAUGCCCGACGUCCAGCCUCCGCAUCAUCUUCCAGCACGUCACCGGCAUGAUGUGCCGGACGAAGACGGUGCGCAGCACGUCGUCCAUGGCGCGCGCGAACGGCACGUCCGGCAGGCCGAUGGCCAGGCACCCGGGGUCGACGCCGAAGACGAGGUUGCAGGUCGUGUCGAAGGACCAGCGCGUGAACACGUCCUGCAGGUCGCACGUCGUGUCGGAGUCGGCGACGUGUGCGAGGAACGGGAGCACGCUCUGCACCGCCUUGUCGAGGCUGGACUGCGCCACGAAGGCGCGGUACCGCGGGGUGGUCAUGAGCAUCUGGGCCUUCGUCCUCUGGCUCCGCCAGCGCUCGCCGUCGGAGUUGAAGAUGCCGCCGCCGAGGAUGUCGAACAUCUGGGCGAACACGUCGCCCUUGGGGUAGUUCUCGAAGUUGGAGGUGAAGAUGUGGCGGACGUUGGCCGGGUCGCAGGUGAUGAAGUAGCGGAAGCCGGCGAACCAGAAGCGGCACUGGUAGUUGAGGCCGGAGAGGGCCAGCAUGCCGGUGACGCCCUCGAAGAUCCGGUGGAUGUUGGAGACGAUGGCCGGGAGGAUGCCGACGAUCGGCCACUGGGUGAGCCCGGGGGAGCGCCGGCGUCGCGUUUUCUCGGGUUUCACGGCGCGAUAACGAAGCAGUAG